AAAGUUUUUAAAAAAUAAGCUUCUAACUUAUCUAAAGCAAUUAAAUUUGUUAAACUUUU
Molecule: transfer RNA, 59 nt
Filed under: Anoplodactylus australis
Lineage: Eukaryota; Metazoa; Arthropoda; Pycnogonida; Pantopoda; Phoxichilidiidae
Description: tRNA-Ser
Source: RNAcentral